AUACAGAGGGUGCGAGCGUUAAUCGGAAUUACUGGGCGUAAAGCGCGCGUAGGCGGCUUAUUAAGUCAGAUGUGAAAUCCCCGGGCUCAACCUGGGAACUGCAUCUGAUACUGGUAAGCUAGAGUUUUGGAGAGGGAAGUAGAAUUACAGGUGUAGCGGUGAAAUGCAUAGAGAUCUGAAGGAAUACCAGUGGCGAAGGCGACUUCCUGGCCAAAAACUGACGCUGAGGUGCGAAAGCGUGGGUAGCAAACGGGAUUAGAAACCCCUGUAGUCC
This 274-nucleotide ribosomal RNA is filed under the name uncultured bacterium. RNAcentral's name for it is "partial 16S ribosomal RNA". It matches the Rfam family "Bacterial small subunit ribosomal RNA", at positions 523 to 796 of the family's 1533-position model. The record is from RNAcentral.